UCUCCGUAGGUGAACCUGCGGAGGGAUCAUUACUUAGUGAGGGCUUCGGUCCGACCUCCAACCCUUUGUGUAAACCAAACUUGUUACUUCGGUGGCGACCCUGCCGCUUCGGCGGUGCGGCGCCCCCGGAGGCCAUUAAACACUGCAUCAUUGCGUCGGAGUUAAAGUAAAUUAAACAAAACUUUCGACAACGGAUCUCUUGGUUCCAGCAUCGAUGAAGAACGAAGC
RNAcentral lists this unclassified non-coding RNA (228 nucleotides) under uncultured fungus. RNAcentral describes it as "sequence contains ITS1, 5.8S rRNA gene". The stretch from base 180 to 228 matches the Rfam family "5.8S ribosomal RNA", at positions 1 to 49 of the family's 154-position model. The record is from RNAcentral. Lineage: Eukaryota; Fungi.